Molecule: non-coding RNA, 138 nt
Organism: Ornithorhynchus anatinus (platypus)
Lineage: Eukaryota; Metazoa; Chordata; Mammalia; Monotremata; Ornithorhynchidae
Source: Rfam
CCCCUCUGAGGGUGACACCUGGAGAGUUUCCAGUGCUCUACCAGUCUUGACUAUGGGAGGGACAGUCAAGCAGAGGCAUACCCAUUCUAUUUCUAGCUUGGCCAGUGGCUAAUGAGUGGAAGACAAUCUGCUACAAGU